GUAGUACUUCCUCCGUCUCAAAAUUCUUAUCUUGGAUUUUCCUAGAUACGGAUAUAUCUAAUACUAAAACGUGACUUGAUACAUCCGUAUUUAGACAAAUCUAAGACAAAUUUUUUGAGACGGAGGAAGUAUUUU
Molecule: non-coding RNA, 135 nt
Organism: Triticum aestivum (bread wheat)
Lineage: Eukaryota; Viridiplantae; Streptophyta; Magnoliopsida; Poales; Poaceae
Source: Rfam